RNAcentral lists this ribosomal RNA (370 nucleotides) under uncultured Sphingobacteriales bacterium. RNAcentral's name for it is "bacterial SSU rRNA". It matches the Rfam family "Bacterial small subunit ribosomal RNA", at positions 1016 to 1382 of the family's 1533-position model. The record is from RNAcentral. Lineage: Bacteria; Pseudomonadati; Bacteroidota; Sphingobacteriia; Sphingobacteriales.
UUCUUCGGUACGAAUAUACAAAGGUGCUGCAUGGUUGUCGUCAGCUCGUGCCGUGAGGUGUCGGGUUAAGUCCCAUAACGAGCGCAACCCUACUCAUUAGUUGCCAUCAGGUCAAGCUGGGGACUCUAAUGAAACUAGCCUACGCAAGUAGUGAGGAAGGUGGGGGAUGACGUCAAAUCAGCACGGCCCUUACGUCCAGGGCUACACACGUGCUACAAUGGCCGGUACAAAGGGCAGCUACCUGGUGACAGGAUGCUAAUCUCAAAAGCCGGUCUCAGUUCGGAUCGGAGUCUGCAACCCGACUCCGUGAAGUUGGAUUCGCUAGUAAUCGCGCAUCAGCCAUGGCGCGGUGAAUACGUUCCCGGGCCUU